Molecule: long non-coding RNA, 10575 nt
Filed under: Malus domestica (apple)
Lineage: Eukaryota; Viridiplantae; Streptophyta; Magnoliopsida; Rosales; Rosaceae
Description: long non-coding RNA (MDOM_LNC017172)
Source: RNAcentral
UUCCUUGUUCCUAACCACCCUACCAUUCUCUAUCUUCUUUUUUCUGAUUUUUUGGUGUUUGUUUUUUCUUUAUUUGUUUGCAUUGGUUGGUUUUAAACUACUACUAGUUCCACAAGAAAACAGAUAAAAAUCCAAUCUUUACUAUUUUUUUCUGUCAAAUUUCUGGAUUUUGUCUACUUGGGUGAAGUGGGGAGGGCGUUAAUCCACCUGGGGUUUCUUUAUUUUCCUGGAAAGAAUGGGUUUUGUAUAAUUUCUAGAGUUGAGUGGCAGUCAUGGAUCUGGAGGGUGUGAUCCGCAGCCAUCCAAUCAAGGUAAUACGUGUGGCAGAGUGUAGCAGUGUGAGUAUUUCACUACCCCAUUUCAAAUUCUCAGCUUUUCUGAUAAUCGCUUCUUGUGCUUCUGCUUUUGUUUAAUUGUUGCAGAAAGAUUCAUGGAUGACGGUGUUAACUCUGGCUUACCAGAGCCUGGGAGUAGUCUAUGGAGAUUUAAGCACGUCUCCUCUCUAUGUCUACAAAAGCACUUUUGCAGAAGACAUUCACCACUCAGAAACCAAUGAGGAGAUUUUUGGGGUUCUCUCGUUUGUGUUCUGGACGCUGACGCUGAUUCCAUUAGUGAAAUAUGUGUUUAUUGUGCUUAGAGCCGACGACAAUGGCGAAGGUGGGACUUUUGCUCUGUAUUCUCUGCUUUCCCGGCACGCCCGGGUGAGCUCCUUGCCCAAUUGCCAGCUGGCGGAUGAGGAGCUGUCGGAGUACACAAAAGAUGGGGUUGUUCCGACAGCGAACAGCGCUUUCGGGUCGAGUUUGAAAUCGACAUUGGAGAAGCAUAAGGCGCUGCAAAAGGUGCUGCUUGUUCUGGCUUUGAUUGGAACUUGUAUGGUUAUUGGUGAUGGGGUGCUCACACCAGCAAUUUCUGGUACUUUUGAGGUUAUAUACAUGAUGAUAUUAGUUUUUGGGUUUUAAAGUUAUGGAAAUUGGGAUUUGAAUGAUGAGAAUUUGCUUCUUGUGGGUGCAGUGUUUUCCGCUGUUUCGGGAUUGGAGCUCUCCAUGUCGAAAGAGCAGCAUCGUUGUAAGUUAUUCGUCGUUGGAGCUUUUAAUUUGAUCCUGCAAAUCAUUUACAUUGUUUUAGGAGAAGAUUGAGUUUAAGGGAUUUUGGUUAUGUGGUUGACGUUCUCUGCAAUUUUCCUUAUCUGGAUAGAAUAUAACUUUCCAAUUCUAAUUUAGGAGCAGCUAAUAGAAAUGUUGGAUAUUAAAAUAUGCACAGCGGAAACAUAACUUCAUGAUCGAUACAGAAUAACUUAGAAAAUGAUGUUGUUGAGUAGUUAAUCCGGAUUAGGACCGCUAACACGGCUAAGAGAAUUCUAAAAAGUGAAGCUGCUUAGUGAUAAGAUGCUUUGGCUUAUUGGUUCACAGAAUUUCUUUGCAUCUGUACUGAGUAUAUCUGCAAAGAGACUUUUAACAUGUGCAAAUCAUGGUUUGGAAUCUAAAUCUUACUAUUUGCAUUACUAAUCCAAAAUCGUGGUUGCUCUAGAUUUCAGAAGCUUUCUCUUGGUUUAUAUUGCGUAGACGCGAAGUUAGUGACAAGCAGGCAAUACCAAACUUUAGAAAAAUGAAAACAUUAUCGCGGGGACCCCUACAAAAAUCAAGACAAACUAGCCUGCGUUAAGUAAAGUCAGAUCACCAUCAAGCUAAUAAAAAAUAAUUUGAAUGUUUAGUGCAACACCCGGUUAGUUUUGUCUGUUCCUUUUUCAGUCAACAUUUGAUUAAACUUGUUUGUAGGAAACAAAGUUUAAUUUUGAUGAGAGUAAAAAGUCUUGUCUUUUAUAAAGUUAAAAAGAUGUAAUGUAGCUAUAUAAGAUGAAGAAGUAAGGUGAUUAAUUUAGGAUGACUUUUCGAUUAGAUUAUAAAUUAUGAACUGAGUCCUCUGAUCAGGCAUGCAUAACUAUGACUUUGUUAUCGAGCCUUGACCCACUUGCUGCUGGCUAAAACAUUUGAUUAACCAGAAUGAAGUCACCAUCUUAUCAUUAUAUUUUCAAGUGCCUCUACUGUUCUAGUUAAAUUAUCACCUUAUACUAGUCACACUGUACAUUUGUGUGUUUUUCUAACAAUUAGCAUUGUUUAACCUCUUGUCGGUGAUCCUGCCAACUUUAAUUCUCUGGUGCUUGCUAACAGAAAAUUGUCAAUUGGACUUUGAGUAGCCAUUUAAUCAAAUAGUGUAGCCUUAGCUUGGAAUGCUUGAAACAGCAAUUCAAAGCUCAAAGCUGAUGAUGUAUCUCCCUUUUAGCGUAUUCAUGUUAAGAUAUAAUACAACAAGAAUUUACUAUUCUCGUUCUUUUUCCUGCUUCAUAUCUUCAUGCUGCUUUAUGCACAUUCCUACUAUCUCGAUUAGCAACCAUAUGGUUUACCUACAUAUUGGUUAUCAUUUAUCAGCUUAUUGUAUUUCCUUAUUGUAUCUUGCUUCUGCAGAUGUUGAAGUCCCUGUUGCUUGUGUCAUCCUCAUAUUUCUGUUUGCCCUUCAACAUUACGGGACUCACCGAGUAGGGUUCUUGUUUGCACCAGUUGUGAUCACAUGGCUUUUGUGCAUCAGUUCCAUUGGUGUAUACAACAUCAUUUACUGGAAUCCCCAUGUUUAUCAGGCACUCUCUCCAUACUACAUGUACAAAUUUUUUAAGAAGACUCGAAAAGGAGGUUGGAUGUCCUUGGGCGGUAUACUGUUGUGCAUGACAGGUACAAGAGUAUGUUAGUGAAUCAUCUUUUCAUGGAUGCUUAUUGUUACCUUCUCUGACAUUAUCUUGUAUCUUUGAAGGCUCGGAAGCUAUGUUUGCUGAUCUUGGACACUUUUCACAGACGUCAAUCAAGGUAUCCAAACUGAAUAACAUUGGUCGAAUAGAGAUUUUCAUCUCUACUAAGUAAUCUGUCACAUUCACCUUGCAGAUUGCUUUCACGUUUGUGGUUUACCCGUCCUUGAUUCUAGCAUACAUGGGACAAGCUGCAUACCUUUCUAAGCAUCAUAUCAUAGAAAGUGAUUAUCGAAUUGGAUUCUAUGAAUCAGUUCCCGGUAGGUGUCUAGCCAUACUUGUAGCAGUUAUAACUGUAAAAUUUGAGAUUAAGCUAAUUAGGAUUCUCUCCUUGUCUCAGAGAAAUUAAGAUGGCCCGUCUUGGCAAUAGCCAUACUUGCUGCAGUGGUGGGAAGUCAAGCAAUCAUAACUGGAACUUUCUCGAUAAUCAAACAAUGUUCUGCUUUGGGUUGCUUUCCAAGGGUCAAGAUUGUCCACACAUCUUCGAAAAUACACGGUCAAAUUUACAUCCCUGAGAUUAACUGGACUUUGAUGUUUCUAUGCUUGGCUGUUACCAUUGGUUUUAGAGACACAAAGCCAUGGGAAAUGCAUCAGGUACCGUCCACUUCAACCUAAUAGUUUGGCUCGUGCGUGUGCGUGUUAGCUUUUGUAUAAUGUAUUUAUGUCUUACCUUCAUAUAGGUUUGGCCGUUAUAACUGUCAUGCUGGUAACUACCUGCCUUAUGUCUCUAGUCAUAGUCUUGUGCUGGCACAAAAGCCUCUUCUGGGGCAAUUUGCUUUAUAUUAUUCUUCGGCUCCCUUGAGGCACUCUACUUCUCAGCAUCUCUCAUGAAGUUUCGUGAAGGGGCUUGGGUCCCGAUUGCUCUUUCAUUCAUCUUCUUAAUGGUUAUGUAUGUUUGGCACUACGGCACCUUCAAGAAAUACGAGUUUGACGUCCAAAAUAAAGUCUCCAUCAACUGGCUCCUCAGUUUGGGUCCUACUCUAGGGAUUGUUCGAGUCCGGGGGAUUGGCCUUAUACACACUGAGCUCGUCUCUGGGAUCCCGGCUAUUUUCUCUCACUUUGUUACCAACCUCCCUGCUUUCCAUCAGGUUGUAGUUUUCCUCUGCAUCAAAUCCGUCCCAGUCCCACAUGUCAGACCCGAGGAAAGAUUCUUAGUGGGAAGAGUUGGUCCAAAGGAAUACCGGCUAUAUAGAUGCAUAGCACGCUAUGGUUACCGUGAUGUUCACAAGGAUGACAUGGAAUUCGAAAGAGAUCUGAUUUGUAGUAUUGCAGAGUUCAUUCGGUCAGAGAGACCAGAAUGCAAUCUGAGUCUAGUAAAAUUGGAAGAUGAUGAGAAAAUGACAGUUGUUGGGACUUCAUCAUCAAAUUUAGACGGCAUAAGAAUGUCUGUAGCUGAACCGGAUUCCUCCGAAAUAGCAAGCACCUCAGAGUUGCAGGAGAUAGGGCCUACCGAAAAGGCAAAGAAGAGAGUGAAGUUCGUUGUUCCAGAAACCCCACGAAUCGACAGGGAAGCAGUAGGGGAGCUGCAGGAACUGAUGGAAGCAAGGGAGGCAGGAAUGGCAUUUAUAUUAGGCCACUCUUACGUGAAGGCGAAGAGAGGAUCAAGUUUUAUGAAGAAAAUAGUGAUCAAUUUCGGGUACGAUUUCUUAAGGAGGAAUUUUCGAGGGCCGAGUUAUGCUUUGAGCAUUCCUCAUGUAUCUACUCUGGAGGUUGGGAUGGUCUACCACGUAUAAUUCUGUGUAUACGGUACAACUUUGUAAUCAAAUGUUUUUCUUUGGGUUUGUUUUAUUUUUCUUGAUAUUGUUGCUGUUGCGGUCAUAUUUUAUGCUGCCCUUUGCACUGUACAAACUUGUAGAGUUCUUAGGCAAUAAUGCAAAGUGCUUCUGGUGGUACUGACUUCUGAGCAUGCUUUUCUCAGCAGUACACAUAUGCCAACAUCAAUAAGAGAGUUGGGCCAAGUUUUCGGCUUUUUAGUUGGGUUCAGUUUGUAAAGGUUUUAGCACAUUGUUCUAAAUCAAAUUCAUUAAUUUUUUUUUGAGCGAUAUUCUAAAAUGGGAAACUACUUUCAUCAUUAGAUACUAGAAAGAUCAAAUUGCAAAUAGGGUAGUGUUAUCUACACUUAUUUUUACACACACCUUUCAAUUUAUGGCCAUUCAUCGGAUUUGAAGAUCUUGCUAAAAACUGACAAGGAUGUGUGAGAGGUAAAAAUAAGUGCGUGAAUAACAAUAUCCUUGCAAAAAUAAAUAUGAUGAUGAUGGAAUGGGAGUCUUUGCUAAAUCAGAUGGACCACAAUCGUGAAUGUUGAAAGCCGUACUCCAAAAGAAACCUCAUAAGGACAUGAAAGAGGCUUACCUGCACCGAGAUGUCAGGAGGAUAUUUAAAGUCAGUUAUAUUAUGUGUUUUAACUUACUAGCACAAUAGUACGUGAUCGAGUUUCAAUUACCGCUGCAAUGACAUUUUGUUUCACUUAAGAGACGGAAGAGAGAAAAAAUAUGAUUUUGUUGACCAUUGAAAGAAAAACAAAGAUUCAAAGAAGGUUAAAAAAACAUUCUCACGACUACUUUGGUUUGUUAGCAUAUGACACAUGAGAUCUGAGCACAUGUGAGAUGAGGGAGAAGAAACAAAAAGACAACAUUAAACAGAAGCAUCAAUGAAGAACAAAUAAUUGAAGUUGGAGAGUUGUAAGUUGUUUUCUUGUACAAGUUUCGUCACUCCAAUUUCUGUGGAUGCUCCAACACUGCACAAUAUCAGCUGAUGAUCCCAAGAACAACCACACCCUUACAACAAAAUGACACUAUUGCCCCUAGACGCUAGAACGGGGGGUACUCUAAUCUAAUCACGCAAUGCCAUGUAAAAAAACUCAAGAAUAUGAUAAUGCAUUAUUAACUAGAGAUGCCGUCAAAGGAAAUAAGUUUCUCUCUUAAAGAAGUGAGCACCCACUGUAAUUAAUUAACAACGGAUUGGUUAGCACAAAUUUAAGACUCAAAAAGGUGAAGACAGAGGAUAUGAUUCCCUCUCUUGCUUUCAUUGCACUAGCAGUGAGACCUCUCUCUCUCUCUCACUCUCUCUCUCUCUCUCUCUCUCCCCUUUGCCUUUACCUUUUCCUUUCCUUAACACUGAACUCCAUUGUGUUCAAUGUUCAGUAUCACCAAACCUUCCAAAUUCACUAUACCCACUUUGUCUCUUUUACCUCCUUUCCUCUCUCCUCUCUCUCUCUCUCUCUCUAGAAAGAUUCAUUCUUACUGAGUAAUUUGUAGAAAAAGUGGCAGAACACUGUCUGUGGGGUCUCCUACUUAAGCGGGGUUACUACAAGCUCAGAGCUUGUGAGUGAGUGAGUAUUCUUCUGCUCUUAGAGCUCUGAUCAACAAAACCAACAUCAAUGGUGAGGAAUUGGGUUGCAUUGCUUCUGAUUUUUCUUCUUCUCUCUGGGGAUUUCUCAUCAGGAGUAGCUGCCUCACCUCCUGCAAGUGAGUGAAGUUUCCAUCUUUAUCCCCCAUUCUGCUUCAAAUUUGGCUUUGCCUCAAUUGGUAAUCUUGUAAUUUCACAUAUAUGUAUGUGUAUGUAUAUGCAGAAAUUGUAACUGGGAUUGUCUCCAAUGUGGUUUCUGCUCUUGUCAAAUGGCUCUGGUCAUUGAAUCCACCACAAAAACCAGUUCAGGUAUUUUUCCCAACUCAGAUUUACCAAUUUUUCGUAUUUUUAUGGUUGUUGAUGUGGUAAUUAGAGAGUGUUUCUCUGGUUGUUAGUUUGGUAAUUAGCUAGUGUUCUUUGAAAUGGUGAGGUUUAUGAGGUUGAUGGGGUUCAAUUUUUCAGCUGUUCCCAGCCGUUCGAUGAUGAAAUUUGAGGGUGGAUACACCGUGGAUACGGUGUUUGAUGGAAGCAAGCUCGGAAUUGAACCACACUCAGUUGAAGUGUCCCCAAGUGGAGAGCUUCUGGUUUUGGACUCCGAAAAUAGUAACAUCUACAAGAUCUCAAUGCCACUGUCUCGAUGUAAGCCGCUUUCGCUGCCUUAUUUCUCGAAUUAUACCAUCAUAUCACUGCUCUUGUUGCUUGUUUUGUUAACAUAUAUCCAGGGACUCAAUUCUAGUUCACCCUAAACUAAUCUAAAUUGCGGGAGGGAGAUUCAAACUCGGGUGCAUACUAGGCAAUGUGGCUUCGCCCACGUCAGUUCGCCCUAACAGUUAAAACUUUGUAUUCGGGUUGAUGCGCAAGACAUUAGCAUUGUUUCUCUGGUUCCUUUCUUUUCUUCUACUCUUGCCAAAUUCCAUUCAUUUAUAAAAGUACUGUUGCUGCUUUUAUGUGCUUUUGUUUAGUGGAAGACUCUACUUUCUGGAUAAUCAAGUGCUAUCUUUUUGGAGAUUUACUUUCUUUUUCUUUUGGUUUGUGACCAGGAUUCUCUAAUGACCAGUUUAACUUCUUGUUUACUCAUCUUAAACUUCUUUUUUUAACCUAAGCCAGAUUUAACUACUUUGUGUACUUUAACGUGGGAAACUUGGGUUUGUUAUACUUCAUGUUAUACCUUUAAGCUCCUUCAAAAUAAAAUCUUUGUCAUUUAUCGGUUAAUGAUUCGCGAUUUCACUUUUUUCUUUCGUAAUUUCAGCUUUAUUUGCAUUCGAGUAUAAUCAAUCAUCAAAACCAUCUAAAGAAAGAGACGAUAAACUUUGAGAUUUACUUUAUUUAUUAUCAAUGAAAUAUGCAAAUAUAGUCUUCAAACUAUCACUUUCGUUAUAGAAAUAAUUUCAGUACAGUUCCUAGUUUAAUGCUUGCUUGCUAUCUGUUUUAUUUAUUUUGGUAGAACCUAUCAUUCUUUCAUAUGCUGAAUGAAUGAUGGUUUGCAGAUAGCCGACCCAAGCUGAUUUCUGGAUCACCUGAGGGGUACUCUGGGCAUGUGGACGGGAGGCCAAGAGAAGCAAGAAUGAACCACCCGAAAGGGCUAACUGUGGAUGAUAGAGGAAAUAUUUAUAUCGCAGACACAAUGAAUAUGGCUAUCAGGAAGAUAAGUGAUGCCGGUAAGUCUUUGGAUGUUUAAGGCAUCAUAGAGGUUAAGGAAUCACCACUUUCUUCUGUAAUUGUUGUGUCAAAUGUAGUGGCACAAAACACUUAUUUCACCUUUGUAUAGGGGUUACGACUAUUGCUGGUGGACAAUGGAGCAGAGGAGGUGGUCAUGUUGAUGGUCCAAGUGAAGACGCAAAGUUUUCUACUGAUUUUGAUGUGGUAUACGUAGGCAGCAGCUGCUCUCUUUUGGUUAUAGACAGAGGAAACCAGGCGAUUCGGGAGAUCCAACUCCAUUAUGAUGACUGUAAUGACCGCUACGAUGGAACUUUCGGUUUAGGUAUAUAACUAAAACAGUUUGGACUUUCAACACUGUAAUUUGCUUUUAGGUGAUGCUGAUCUUUAAAAUCUGUUCUCCAUCAUUGCAGGAAUAGCAAUGCUGAUUGCAGCUGCAUUCUUCGGUUACAUGUUGGCAUUGCUGCAGCGUAGGGUGCAAUCAAUGUUUUCGUCAAAUGAUGCAAGUUAUUUACAUGACCAAAGAACUCCUAUACAUAGGGCUGCAACAGUAGCACCAUAUCAGAUGACUCCGAAAUCCGCCAGGCCGCCUUUAAUUCCCAAUGAAGAUGAACCCGAGAAACUAGAUGACAGCUUCUUUGGUUCACUAGGAAAGAUUGUUCUCAACACUGGCUCGUCUGUGGCUGAAAUCUUUGGGGGAGUAUUUACGGGCUUUAGAAGUAAGCCCCGACAAUAUCACAUACAGCAGCAGUAUCAUCAAGCUAAUGAACAUUCAAAUGCUUGGCCCUUGCAAGACAGCUAUGUUAUUCCAGACGAAGACGAGCCUCCAUCAAUAGAAACCAGAUCCCCAACCCCGAAUAAAACCUAUCCUUACAUGACCAAAGACCUAGAGAAGUCUCACCAUUCGAAGCAAAGUCAAGCCUACUAUAAUUCAUGGGAGGGUGAACAUCAGCAACAACAACAACAACAGCAACAACUUCAGAUGCAGCUGCAGCAGCAGCAACGACACCAUAUGCAGAUGCAGCAGCAUCAGCAACAGCAGCAGCAGCAGCAACGACACCAUAUGCAGAUGCAAAUGCAGAUGCAGCAGCAUCAGCAACAGCAGCAGCAUCACAGGCAUUACUCAACAAACCCAAAUACAUACUACGAGAAGAGCAGCGAGACAAAUGAGAUUGUGUUUGGGGCGGUUCAAGAACAUGAUGGACGCCGUGAAGCAGUGGUGAUAAAGUCAGUAGACUAUGGAGAUUCUAGGUAUAACCACCACAACAUUCGACAGCGUUUCAAUUAUGUGGGUUAUAAUUCCUCUGGUUACUGAUUAUCCCAUCAAAAAACACAAGAGUAUCAUCCUUUAUGUUGUAUUUCUUAUUUUCUGAAGGAAAUGUUUGCUUUCCCAGAGUUGUCUUCAAGGAAAUGUGCAAGUUUUAUAGCUCAGAUUAGGUGUGUAUUUCUCUCUGUCGAGAUCCAAAGAAUCAAAGUGGUUUUGAUUUGCAGACCUAAGCCGCAGUGGCUAGAUCGGAUGUGGUUUUCAGCCAUGGAUCACGAAAUCUUGUUGGACAAAAAGGCCCAUAAAAUAUAAUUCUUAGCUAUACCAUAUGGGCCAUCUCGUAUUAAGAUUUCUUAACAAAGCUCUCUUUUUAAAAUGAAAAAUAAUAAAUUUGUGUCCCAACAUUUUUUUUUUUUUUUUGAACAAUUGAUAUUAUCUACAUUUUAAAGGAAGGAGGAUGGGCUUAGUCUCACAAUAGACGAUCAAUAAUGUGGUUCAAAUUCGUCUUUAGAGAGAAUCGAACUUAAAAUCUAUCACUUACCUACCACUAGACCGUACUUAUCAAAACAAAAAUAAAAUUUAAAUAUGGAGCAUCUAUUCGAUAACCAUUUAAUUUUUUUGUCAAGCUAGGUUCAGUUAACGAGAUUGAAAAGAAAAAGAAAACUAAUGAAAAUAACUUGAAAAUUUUGAGUUUUAACGAUAAGGACAAAAUAAAGGGUAAAGUGAAUAGUACCAGAAGCUUUUCGUUAAAGUUUCCAAAAAAAUAAGGCAAAUAUCGCCUUUUUUUCUUUCCAUUUUCCGUUGGGUUGGAUAUUUAUCAUUCCCAAAUUCCAGCCCACUGGACUUGAAAAUUAGUUCAUAGGUAUUAAAUUUACUAUUUCAAGACAAUUUACAUUUUUCAUUGAAGAUGCUCGUAGUAUGUAAAUUCAAAGACAUGUAACUCUCUAUUAGAACGAUGAAUAAAUUAAAGAAUGUAACUUUUUUACACAAGUAUAGUUGACUCCUUGUUCCUCCUAGAUCAUGAGCACCUGAACUAGGAAUUUCAAACAAUUUCUUAUUUUCUUAUCACUACCACAAUAUCGUAUAACACUAUCAGCUAGCUCUGCUGCAUUUGAACCCUAAAGACUAGAGUAGCUAGCUAGGACUAGGAGCUAGCACACCUUCAUUUGUUUUGCAUGGAAUAUUAAUGGCCUUCGCCGGGGCUUGGACCAGAAUUCUUGAUUCCCCAGAGGGAAAGAACAUCGGCAAAGUAAUUACCAACGCCGCCUCCGCUCUGACCGGCGGCCUUCCUUGGAUUGUGGUGCACCGGGUGGCUGUGACUGUGAUGAUGAAUCUGGUGAUGAACGGGAGAACCAUGCACGUCAAGAGGGCGGGCUUCGACUGCGGCAGAGAGCAAAAUGAAGCUCACCACAAGUAGGGCAACAAUGAAACGGUGGCGGCUAAUGAUUUCUCUGGCCAUGAUUUCUGGAGAAUAUUUGAGUCACUAGUUCUAAUGAGUCGAAUGAUUUUGUUU